CCGGCGACCGGCGCACGGGUGAGUAACACGUAUGCAACCUGGCCGUGACAGAUGGAUAACCGGGAGAAAUCCCGCCUAAUACAACAUAAUGCCGGGAGGGGACAUCCCCUGCCGGCCAAAGGGGGCGACCCCGGUCACGGAUGGGCAUGCGGCGCAUUAGGCAGUUGGUGGGGCAACGGCCCACCAAGCCGACGAUGCGUAGGGGUUCUGAGAGGAAGGUCCCCCACAUUGGAACUGAGACACGGUCCAAACUCCUACGGGAGGCAGCAG
Molecule: ribosomal RNA, 270 nt
Filed under: uncultured bacterium
Lineage: Bacteria
Description: partial 16S ribosomal RNA
Rfam family: Bacterial small subunit ribosomal RNA
Source: RNAcentral